GCGAGGAUGGUGGAACUGGCAGACACGCAGGUUUGAGGGACCUGUGGCCAAUGCGGCUGUGAGGGUUCGAAUCCCUUUCCUCGCACCA
Molecule: transfer RNA, 88 nt
Filed under: Eubacterium barkeri
Lineage: Bacteria; Bacillati; Bacillota; Clostridia; Eubacteriales; Eubacteriaceae
Also listed under: 3 other names
Description: tRNA_Leu_GAG
Rfam family: tRNA
About the family: Transfer RNA (tRNA) molecules are approximately 80 nucleotides in length.
Source: RNAcentral